CCUACGGGUGGCAGCAGUGAGGAAUAUUGGUCAAUGGGAGAGAUCCUGAACCAGCCAAGCCGCGUGAGGGAAGACGGCCCUAUGGGUUGUAAACCUCUUUUGUCGGAGAACAAAACCCGGGACGAGUCCCGGACUGCGUGUAUCCGAAGAAAACGCAUCGGCUAACUCCGUGCAAGCAGCCGCGGUAAUACGGAGGAUGCGAGCGUUAUCAGGAUUUAUUGGGUUUAAAGGGUGCGUAGGCGGUCUGUUAAGUCAGCGGGAAAAUUGCGGGGCUCAACCCCGUCGAGCCGUUGAAACUGGCAGACUUGAGUUGGCGAGAAGUACGCGGAAGGCGCGGUGUAGCGGUGAAAUGCAUAGAUAUCGCGCAGAACUCCGAUUGCGAAGGCAGCGUACCGGCGCCAGACUGACGCUGAGGCACGAAAGCGUGGGGAUCGAACAGGAUUAGAUACCCUUGUAGUC
Molecule: ribosomal RNA, 459 nt
Filed under: uncultured bacterium
Lineage: Bacteria
Description: partial 16S ribosomal RNA
Rfam family: Bacterial small subunit ribosomal RNA
Source: RNAcentral